This 930-nucleotide long non-coding RNA is filed under the name Cricetulus griseus (Chinese hamster). RNAcentral describes it as "lncRNA (ENSCGRG00015029971.1)". Lineage: Eukaryota; Metazoa; Chordata; Mammalia; Rodentia; Cricetidae. The record is from RNAcentral.
AUUUUGGUUUGGGGCACCAUUUCUUUGCCGCGGUUUGUCCUGUCUAAUGUUUGUGCUGUCUAAUGUGCUGUCAUUUGUGUUAUGUGUUUCUUAAGCAUCUCUUUCUGUCCCUGCUCUCCCUAUGCACGUGGCAUGCAUGGGUCAGGGGGUCAGGGGUCUUUUCUUGAUUCUCUGAGCACGUGGCGCCACCUCAACUGUGAUCGGCAGAUGCGCCCUGUGGACAGACUGCCACUCUGAGGACACCCAGGACCCAGGAGUUUAUAAUGUCAGACAGACUGCCAGAUCCUGACAGUGACCCAAAGUCUCCAAAGAAGAUUACGAGGCACCUCAGUUCCUGCACCUGGACCAGUGAGCGAGAUGCUCAGAUGUGAAACCUGCCGCCUGCCAGAACCUAGCCGAGACUGUGGACAAAGCUGCUGGACACUGGAAAAUUGAUUGUACCCCUUUGCCUAGACAAAACAAGACAUCUGAAUAUCAGUUGCUGACUACAGACUGUUCUAAGACUGCGAGCCCUGGACUUGCUGUGGAUGUGAACCAGUUCAGCUGAUAUGGACACCCCCUGUCUCUACAACAGUGUCUGCUAACCAGAAGCCCCUGAUGAAUUCCCCAUUGCCUAAAUUCCUUUUUGCUUUUGACUAGCAUUUCAACCUUCUGGGGUCCCUAACUUCGUCCCAAUGUCAGCAGGAAGCAGUUUAGAAAGAAAUUUCGCCGCCCAUUUUCCCUGGUUAAAAUGCUAAGUCAAAAGGAACUCCCUUACAUGGGGAUGCCAAUAUCUGUCACUCCCUGAUGGGGAUGCUAGAGAGACAGCAAUUCCAUGAUUGGAAUUUCCAGAAAAGAAAAUGGGGGAAUGAAGGAACCGGCUUCCCUUUUGGCAGCCAUAAUGGUUAAACAUGUGCCUUUAUGACCUUGUCCUAAAAACCAGAAAGUCAG